GAUGAACGCUGGCGGCGUGCCUAAUACAUGCAAGUCGAGCGAACGGACGAGAAGCUUGCUUUUCUGAUGUUAGCGGCGGACGGGUGAGUAACACGUGGAUAACCUACCUAUAAGACUGGGAUAACUUCGGGAAACCGGAGCUAAUACCGGAUAAUAUUUUGAACCGCAUGGUUCAAAAGUGAAAGACGGUCUUGCUGUCACUUAUAGAUGGAUCCGCGCUGCAUUAGCUAGUUGGUAAGGUAACGGCUUACCAAGGCAACGAUGCAUAGCCGACCUGAGAGGGUGAUCGGCCACACUGGAACUGAGACACGGUCCAGACUCCUACGGGAGGCAGCAGUAGGGAAUCUUCCGCAAAGGGCGAAAGCCUGACGGAGCAGCGCCGCGUGAGUGAUGAAGGUCUUCGGAUCGUAAAACUCUGUUAUUAGGGAAGAACAUAUGUGUAAGUAACUGUGCACAUCUUGACGGUACCUAAUCAGAAAGCCACGGCUAACUACGUG
RNAcentral lists this ribosomal RNA (497 nucleotides) under uncultured bacterium. RNAcentral's name for it is "partial 16S ribosomal RNA". It matches the Rfam family "Bacterial small subunit ribosomal RNA", at positions 28 to 507 of the family's 1533-position model. The record is from RNAcentral.